This 347-nucleotide unclassified non-coding RNA is filed under the name Hevea brasiliensis (rubber tree). The record is from RNAcentral. Lineage: Eukaryota; Viridiplantae; Streptophyta; Magnoliopsida; Malpighiales; Euphorbiaceae.
UCAAGGCUAGUUAGUGAAGUAAGACCUAUUUCGUUGUUAAUUUUCUUUUUUUUUCCCUUUUUUUUUCCUUCAUCAUUGCAAUUUUUUCUCUUGUAAUCCACAGAAGUUAGUUGAUUAAAGCCUGUGUUAUUGUAGUAAUGUUAUAUGUUUCUCACUGCUAUCUUAGUGUCGAGGGUGAAAUAUCAUCCUUAGCCUUGAAGGUUUUAAAUCUCUCUUUUGUUCAUUAGUUAUUUGUUUCUUGUAACAAUUAAGGUAAGUGGUCUAUUGUGCCAAUGUAGAUAGUUUGUGCUUAUUUUUGGGUUGUCUAAAUGUGGUAUUAUUUCAGGUCAAGUAAUCAAGGGGUGGGA